GUCACCUACGGGGGGCAGCAGUGAGGAAUAUUGGUCAAUGGACGGAGGUCAGAACCAGCCAUGCCGCGUGCAGGAAGACGGCUCUAUGAGUUGUACACUGCUUUUGUACAAGGGUAAACCUGAAUACGGGUAUUCAGCUGAAAGUACUGUACGAAUAAGGAUCGGCUAACUCCGUGCCAGCAGCCGCGGUAAUACGGAGGAUCCAAGCGUUAUCCGGAUUUAUUGUGUUUAAAGGGUGUGUAGGCGGAUUGAUAAGUUAGAGGUGAAAUGUCCG
Molecule: ribosomal RNA, 274 nt
Filed under: uncultured bacterium
Lineage: Bacteria
Description: partial 16S ribosomal RNA
Rfam family: Bacterial small subunit ribosomal RNA
Source: RNAcentral